Molecule: ribosomal RNA, 398 nt
Filed under: uncultured bacterium
Lineage: Bacteria
Description: partial 16S ribosomal RNA
Rfam family: Bacterial small subunit ribosomal RNA
Source: RNAcentral
AAUAUUGGACAAUGGGCGCAAGCCUGAUCCAGCCAUGCCGGGUGAGUGAUGAAGGCCCUAGGGGUGUAAAGCUCUUUCACCGGUGAAGGUAAUGACGGUUACCGGAGAAGAAGCCCCGGCUACCUUCGUGCCAGCAGCCGCGGUAAUACGAAGGGGGCUAGCGUUGUUCGGAAUUACUGGGCGUAAAGCGCACGUAGGCGGAUCGGUCAGUUAGGGGUGAAAUCCCGGGGCUCAACCCCGGAACUGACUUUAAUACUGCCGGUCUAGAGUCCGAGAGAGGUGAGGGGAAUUCCGAGUGUAGAGGUGAAAUUCGUAGAUAUUCGGAGGAACACCAGUGGCGAAGGCGGCUCACUGGCUCGGUACUGACGCUGAGGUGCGAAAGCGUGGGGAGCAAACAG